GAUGAAGAACGUAGCGAAAUGCGAUAAGUAAUGCGAAUCGCAGAAUUCAGUGAAUCAUCGAAUCUUUGAACGCACAUUGCGCCCGCUAGUAUUCUGGCGGGCAUGCCUGUCUGAGCGUCAUUUCAACCCUCGCCCCCGGCUUUUGCUGGGAGCGGUGUUGGGGAUCGGCCGCCCGUCACUGGGAGGCCGGCCCCGAAAUAGAGUGGCGACCACGCCGUGUGCUCCUCUGCGUAGUAGUAAAUCACCUCGCAGGCGGACAGCGGUGCGGCCUGCCGUAAAACCCCCAACUCUUUCUGGUUGACCUCAGAUCAGGUAGGAAUACCCGCUGAACUUAAGCAUAUCAUAAGCGGAGGA
RNAcentral lists this unclassified non-coding RNA (354 nucleotides) under soil metagenome. RNAcentral describes it as "partial contains 5.8S ribosomal RNA, internal transcribed spacer 2, and large subunit ribosomal RNA". The stretch from base 1 to 120 matches the Rfam family "5.8S ribosomal RNA", at positions 35 to 154 of the family's 154-position model. The record is from RNAcentral.